This 391-nucleotide ribosomal RNA is filed under the name Vibrio cholerae. RNAcentral's name for it is "partial 23S ribosomal RNA". It matches the Rfam family "Bacterial large subunit ribosomal RNA", at positions 1 to 442 of the family's 2925-position model. Lineage: Bacteria; Pseudomonadati; Pseudomonadota; Gammaproteobacteria; Vibrionales; Vibrionaceae. The record is from RNAcentral.
GGUUAAGUGACUAAGCGUACACGGUGGAUGCCUGGGCAGUCAGAGGCGAUGAAGGACGUACUAACUUGCGAUAAGCGCAGAUAAGGCAGUAAGAGCCGUUUGAGUCUGCGAUUUCCGAAUGGGGAAACCCAACUGCAUAAGCAGUUACUGUUAACUGAAUCCAUAGGUUAACAGAGCAAACCGGGGGAACUGAAACAUCUAAGUACCCCGAGGAGAAGAAAUCAACCGAGAUUCCGGUAGUAGCGGCGAGCGAACCUGGAUUAGCCCUUAAGCACUCGGUGAAGUAGGUGAACAAGCUGGAAAGCUUGGCGAUACAGGGUGAUAGCCCCGUAACCGACGCUUCAUCGAGCGUGAAAUCGAGUAGGGCGGGACACGUGAUAUCCUGUCUGAA